UUGACAGCACUUGAAAGUGAAGGCCUACAUUUAUCCACAGAACAGCAAUGUGGACUUAUUUAUCAUGCCCCAUCAAUGAGGUUAAAUUCUGGUCCUAAGGAUCACACUUAAGGUAGAAAGGAUGAUUCAUCUGAAUGCACAUUCAAUCCUUGGUAUCU
RNAcentral lists this small RNA (158 nucleotides) under Chelonoidis abingdonii (Abingdon island giant tortoise). RNAcentral describes it as "TUC338 (ENSCABG00000016339.1)". The record is from RNAcentral. Lineage: Eukaryota; Metazoa; Chordata; Testudines; Testudinidae.